GUUCCUGGCUCAGGACGAACGCUGGCGGCGCGCCUAACACAUGCAAGUCGAACGGAGCUUAGAGAGCUUGCUUUUUAAGCUUAGUGGCGAACGGGUGAGUAACGCGUGAGUAACCUGCCCUAGAGUGGGGGACAACAGUUGGAAACGACUGCUAAUACCGCAUAAGCCCACGGUGCCGCAUGACACUGAGGGAAAAGGAUUUAUUCGCUUUAGGAUGGACUCGCGUCCAAUUAGCUAGUUGGUGAGGUAACGG
Molecule: ribosomal RNA, 253 nt
Filed under: uncultured bacterium
Lineage: Bacteria
Description: partial 16S ribosomal RNA
Rfam family: Bacterial small subunit ribosomal RNA
Source: RNAcentral